GAGUUCACAGCAGGGACUGAAAAUUAUUUGGCUUUAUUAAUCAUUGACUUCAGGACCAAGUGCAAGCUGCAGUAGUUGACGAAGGGUUCUGAUCUGUGGAGCAGGAAGUAGUGUCCCACUCAGCUCUUUGGAGAGCACCUAGCCCACAAUCCACAGAACUUAGUGCCACCUCCUUAAGUGGCUGCUGCUCUUUGGUUUCUGGCCAUAGCCAGCUGAAGGCACAAGUUGCUGCCAGGACUCUGGAACAUUUCUGUCACGUCACUGCUGCUUUUCUGCCAGGGACAAAGCUUAGGAGGCAGCCAGAACCAAUUUGUUUUAGAUGAACCCUGUUAUAGUGCUUGGUAUAUACCUGUUUUAUGUUCUCCAUCAGUAAGAGGUUUUUGUCUUAGAAAACAAGUGACAUUUAUAGUCCAAAGAGAAAUAAUCAGACUUGAAGGGGGUGUUCCUACUGGCUCUGUCUGUGUUGUCAUUACAUUGUAGAUGAGGACUCCACUGUUUGGUUUAACGUUUAUCUCUUUUCUUUGGCCGUCAGGGGCAGUGUGGGCUUGUUUUGUGCAGGUUCCUCCAUUCUAGACACGUGUGCUCUGCCGUCCCAGAACAAGGACCAUGGCUGUAGCAGUCCUUGGUCUGAAGUUUGCCACCACCCUUUUUUUUUCUCAGCUCAGGUACAGACACCCACCCCCAUCUUCCUUGUCCCUUAGCAUCCUUUCUUGUCCUCUUCCUCCCCUCUGAGUCCAGUUCCCAUUUGAGGAAUAUAGCCUUCUGUCUUUGAUUAUUCCCUUUGAAGUCAGGCAAUAAUCUCAUGUUUCCAGGUGAUUUCCUGAGGUGGAGAAUGGUGAAAAUUAGUGAGUUUUACCCUAAAAAUAUUCUAGUAACUCAGCAAGAAUAGGUGAAAUUGAGCAACUUUGGGUCUGACACUGCAUGGGGAAAGCGGGUCUUGUUCUGUCCAAGGUGAAUAAAGAAUUUAAAUACACACAUGCAACUUCUAACAUUCCAGAGGGUACAAAUAAUUGAUAAAGAUGGACUUCCUUGGUGUGAUUCUUCUGAAAACCUUUUGUUUGGAUGUGUUUAAAAUGAUAUCAGAAAAGUAACAUUUGGGAUAUGUGUGUUAGGGUGGGCUUAAUUGUCCUUUCCCCUUCAGUUGGCUCUAAUUUCUGAUAACUCUGUAAUUCUGAUUAUUUUGAUAAAAGAACAACCAUAGCAGAUGCAGUUUGAAAUCUGGGGCAUGCAGUGGUUCCCCAAGGGAAGAGGGCUGCCCCCCACUCCAAGAAGCCCUGGUGUACACAGCAAACAGAACUUGGAAUGCACCCCCCUCACUGGUUACUUCUGCUCCACACACCAUCUCCCCAGCAAAAGACUGGGGAAGAAGAGCCUUGAGCCUUUGCAGAGGUGUUUGGAGUCCUGUUCACUGAGUUCACCCUCCUGCCUGCACUAAGAUCACUUUGAACAGAGUCAUGUAAGAGAAACAUACACUUAGUACCUAAUAAUAUUCUCAGUAGUUCACUUGAUAGAUUUGAACCAUAGGUUCAGAAACUUUGGGGGAAAACUGGGACCAGUCUGGACGGGGCUUAAACUAUUCAGUUGCUGUACUUGGAUACUCAGGCACCUUCCAACAGGAAAACAUUUCCCAAGGGUAUUUAGGCUGGUGGCCCAUUUUGUUCACUUUUGAAGCUGGGCGUAAGGGUAGACAUGGGGGUGGGGCUUCUACUUUUGCCAACAACACAGGAAACGGGGCUCUUCAGUCCUCACAGCCACUUUUCCCUUUUGUGUAGGGUUUCUUCCUUAGGCCUUGAGAAGCAUGAUUAAAUGGUAGGGCAGCCGUCCUCGGCCAUCCUGAGACAUGUACCAUGCACAUGUGUACACGAGUAUCUCCCCUUCCAGCACCUCCAUUUUAGGUCAGCUCCACCUGUGGACUCACAUAAAAACAUCCGCAGUGUAACUGGCCUUCUCCGUGUCUGACCCACAGGGAGAAGGACAGUCGGGAAGCCCAUGAGCUAGGGAAGAACCAGGUUCUGUGGGCUGACAUUACAGUGCUGAGGUCUCCAGGGUGUUUAUUCCUAUUAAAAAGUGGAACUUCCCACAUAUAGUCGGCCUUGGUUACGGCUGGGUAGCCAACUGCCUUGGAGGUUAUGUGGCACUCUCCUGGAAGCAGUUGUCCUUUAGCAUUCAAAGCCUGUUCAGACCAGAUCUUCUGUGCUGACAGUGACCAUUAGCAUCCGCCCAUGUGUUCCUAGCACUUCCUGACAGCCCCUCUUCCUGAGGGGUCCACCUGGAGAGGGGAGACACUGAUGUCACGGCUGGCAGAGCCAUGCACUGCAGAAGGUUUGCUCUGAGUAGUCACCUAGUCCUUCAGACAGGCUUUUCUAAUGGUGAAGGAAAAGGUAAAAUUUGGGAUUCCACAGUGCCUUGCAUACAUUAGGCGCCCAAUACCUAUUUGUUGAAGCAAAUCAAGUUCUUUGUUCCCACAGUGACCAAGGCAUCUUCCUCCUCCGAAGGGCUUGGCGGUUGUGGCUAAAAACUAAGCAUCAUUAUUUGCUCGAGACCAUAUUUACAAUUUGUAUGAAUUUCGGUAUAUUGCCAAGAUGGGAUCUUUUUCCUAUUGUAUUUUCUGUAAAUAUUUCUGCCACUGACUUGUAAAGUAAAGAGAUGUAAAUAUGAAGGUGUGCCUGUGUCCCUUGCUGCCUCUGUUGGGUCUGUGUCAGCCUGGGAAGGAGGUGCAGAGCUGUUCCUGUUUAUGCCGGUCCUUUGUCCACAAGAAACCCACAAGAUAUUGAAUGUACUACACGCAGUCAAUUAAAUUUUAAGGAGCUUCUUAUCUAAU
Molecule: long non-coding RNA, 2821 nt
Filed under: Rattus norvegicus (Norway rat)
Lineage: Eukaryota; Metazoa; Chordata; Mammalia; Rodentia; Muridae
Description: long non-coding RNA NONRATT019878
Source: RNAcentral